GGAGAGGUGGCAGAGCGGUUUAAUGCGGCGGUCUUGAAAACCGUUGAACCUUCACGGGUUCCGCGAGUUCGAAUCUCGCCCUCUCCGCCA
The sequence is a transfer RNA, 90 nucleotides long. It matches the Rfam family "tRNA". From Rfam's summary of the family: Transfer RNA (tRNA) molecules are approximately 80 nucleotides in length. Their secondary structure includes four short double-helical elements and three loops (D, anti-codon, and T loops).